RNAcentral lists this unclassified non-coding RNA (314 nucleotides) under Sophora velutina. Its description in RNAcentral is "partial contains external transcribed spacer and 18S ribosomal RNA". The record is from RNAcentral. Lineage: Eukaryota; Viridiplantae; Streptophyta; Magnoliopsida; Fabales; Fabaceae. RNAcentral also lists the same sequence under 1 other name.
AUGUGGCUCGUAAGACUCGUUCCAUCCAUGCUUUCUUUGCGAGGUUUGGUGGAUUUGAAAGUAAUACUAGUGUUCCGCUUGAGUUGUGUGUUGUACAGCUCAGGUGGUCAUUCGUAUCUACUGUUCUCCUGGAUGCGGUGCAUGCGGCUAAUGUGGGCUCUUGAUUGUGCCCCGUCGAGUCCCUCGGAAUUAUUGUUUGCCAUGAACGACGCUUGCCGCAGUGCCUGGGUUGCUCUUCCGCUUGCGGUGGCAACACUUGCACGUUGGGCAUAGUUGUUGGUGGAUGCUACCUGGUUGAUCCUGCCAGUAGUCAU